RNAcentral lists this long non-coding RNA (254 nucleotides) under Lathyrus oleraceus (garden pea). RNAcentral describes it as "Pisum sativum (pea) long non-coding RNA (PSAT_LNC016015)". The record is from RNAcentral. Lineage: Eukaryota; Viridiplantae; Streptophyta; Magnoliopsida; Fabales; Fabaceae.
GUGUUCAUCAACUUCAUUCAAAAUCGUGAAGAACAAGUGUGCCCAGAAAAUGAAAUGACACAUACCAACACGACAAACAAGCAUCACUCAUGCAUAUUCUAAAAACCAUAAUCAUCAAAUCGAACUAACACAGAAGAAUCAUACAAAAACAACUUUGAACAUGACACUUUAAAAUCAGAUUUCUUCCACAUAACUCAACCAUUUAACACGAUUCUAGGUUCAUAACACUCAGCAAUGCAAGGACUACACAUGGC